This is a long non-coding RNA of Toxorhynchites rutilus septentrionalis, 448 nucleotides long. RefSeq lists it as uncharacterized. The transcript is spliced from 3 exons. The record is from RefSeq and is a predicted model, not a curated record. NCBI's taxonomy places the organism in Eukaryota, Metazoa, Arthropoda, Insecta, Diptera, Culicidae.
AACUGUGUGUAUGCAACUGCCAUUCUCUAAUGGAAGCGAAGGGAUACGGAGCAUAUAAUUGUAGAAAUCCAUAGCAACGGUUUCACGCAGCCAUCGCAACUAACAGCAGCAAUGGAUCGCCUCUCGAUCCAUUUGUUGUUCCAGGAAACGAUGGAGAUCAGUUGGGCCAAUCGUGCCGUCAGCAGCGAGGAAACCAGCAACAACCGUUUUACACUGAGCAAUCAACAGCUACCGAUUCGGACAACAUCGACUCGGAUGGAAGCAGCAGCAACAGCGCAGAUUGUCGGUGUUAUUCCAUAUACUGUCUGCAGCAAAAACUCCACUAGCUGAUGAACGAUAUGCUAUGGCGAAAGUAUCACAAUUUUCAAACACAUCGUCACAUUAUAUAAAAAUAAGAAUAGAAUAAGAAUAUUAAUAAAAAUAAUAAUAUUUUAAAUAAAAACUAUAU